Molecule: microRNA precursor, 78 nt
Filed under: Schistosoma margrebowiei
Lineage: Eukaryota; Metazoa; Platyhelminthes; Trematoda; Strigeidida; Schistosomatidae
Description: mir-3492 microRNA precursor family
Rfam family: mir-3492 microRNA precursor family
Source: Rfam by way of RNAcentral
AGCUUUUCGAAUCCGUGCAAAGAUUUCGUCAGAAACCAACCCAUUAUGGUUGAUCAGACUUCCUAGAUAAGUGAAGUU